This 605-nucleotide ribosomal RNA is filed under the name Photobacterium sp. GB-36. RNAcentral describes it as "bacterial SSU rRNA". It matches the Rfam family "Bacterial small subunit ribosomal RNA", at positions 1 to 592 of the family's 1533-position model. Lineage: Bacteria; Pseudomonadati; Pseudomonadota; Gammaproteobacteria; Vibrionales; Vibrionaceae. The record is from RNAcentral.
UUAAUUGAAGAGUUUGAUCAUGGCUCAGAUUGAACGCUGGCGGCAGGCCUAACACAUGCAAGUCGAGCGGUAACAGAUUGAUAGCUUGCUAUCAAUGCUGACGAGCGGCGGACGGGUGAGUAAUGCCUGGGAAUAUGCCCUGAUGUGGGGGAUAACUAUUGGAAACGAUAGCUAAUACCGCAUAAUCUCUUCGGAGCAAAGAGGGGGACCUUCGGGCCUCUCGCGUCAGGAUUAGCCCAGGUGGGAUUAGCUUGUUGGUGGGGUAAUGGCUCACCAAGGCAACGAUCCCUAGCUGGUCUGAGAGGAUGAUCAGCCACACUGGAACUGAGACACGGUCCAGACUCCUACGGGAGGCAGCAGUGGGGAAUAUUGCACAAUGGGGGAAACCCUGAUGCAGCCAUGCCGCGUGUAUGAAGAAGGCCUUCGGGUUGUAAAGUACUUUCAGUUGUGAGGAAGGCGUUGAUGUUAAUAGCUUCAACGUUUGACGUUAGCAACAGAAGAAGCACCGGCUAACUCCGUGCCAGCAGCCGCGGUAAUACGGAGGGUGCGAGCGUUAAUCGGAAUUACUGGGCGUAAAGCGCAUGCAGGUGGUCUGUUAAGCAAGA